RNAcentral lists this ribosomal RNA (253 nucleotides) under uncultured bacterium. RNAcentral's name for it is "partial 16S ribosomal RNA". It matches the Rfam family "Bacterial small subunit ribosomal RNA", at positions 524 to 776 of the family's 1533-position model. The record is from RNAcentral.
UACGAAGGGGGCUAGCGUUGCUCGGAAUUACUGGGCGUAAAGCGCACGUAGGCGGCUCUUUAAGUCGGGGGUGAAAUCCUGGAGCUCAACUCCAGAACUGCCUUCGAUACUGUAGAGCUUGAGACCGGAAGAGGUAAGUGGAACUGCGAGUGUAGAGGUGAAAUUCGUAGAUAUUCGCAAGAACACCAGUGGCGAAGGCGGCUUACUGGUCCGGUUCUGACGCUGAGGCGCGAAAGCGUGGGGAGCAAACAGG